AUAAAUUAUUGUGUAUCUUCGUCAUCCUCCUCCUCAAACGUCGAACAUGGCGGACACUGGUUUUACUCAAUUUUGUUUCUUUCCGUUCUGUAGCCUCGUGUUCAAAGACACGAUGGGAAAGGAGCCUUCUUUGGAUGAAGAACCAAUUAAAAGGUAAAAAUGUUUCUACUUUGUAUCCACUAGAGGCUCUAUCUAUCCCUUGUGAGGAAAUUGAACAGGCGGGUAGAUCUAAAGCCACAACUGCUUAAGGCAUUUCCACUUCACUGGGCUUAGUCGCCGGCCGCAACAAACUAGGCCUAAACCCUCCUUCUAGCAACUUCUCCACUUCCUCAAACUGAAGCCCUUUCGUCUCAGGCACAAACAGCCAGAU
Molecule: long non-coding RNA, 370 nt
Organism: Camelina sativa (false flax)
Lineage: Eukaryota; Viridiplantae; Streptophyta; Magnoliopsida; Brassicales; Brassicaceae
Source: RefSeq, a predicted model, not a curated record